RNAcentral lists this transfer RNA (74 nucleotides) under Lachnospira sp. RNAcentral describes it as "tRNA-Ile". It matches the Rfam family "tRNA". From Rfam's summary of the family: Transfer RNA (tRNA) molecules are approximately 80 nucleotides in length. Their secondary structure includes four short double-helical elements and three loops (D, anti-codon, and T loops). Further hydrogen bonds mediate the characteristic L-shaped molecular structure. tRNAs have two regions of fundamental functional importance: the anti-codon, which is responsible for specific mRNA codon recognition, and the 3' end, to which the tRNAs corresponding amino acid is attached (by aminoacyl-tRNA synthetases). tRNAs cope with the degeneracy of the genetic code in two manners: having more than one tRNA (with a specific anti-codon) for a particular amino acid; and 'wobble' base-pairing, i.e. permitting non-standard base-pairing at the 3rd anti-codon position. The record is from RNAcentral. Lineage: Bacteria; Bacillati; Bacillota; Clostridia; Lachnospirales; Lachnospiraceae.
GGACCUCUAGCUCAGUUGGUUAGAGCACCGGGCUCAUAACCUGGCGGUCCUGGGUUCGAGCCCCAGGGGGUCCA